AAACUUUGGUUGAACCCAGAACCAGGAGGCUUUAAUUCUCAAUGCAAGGAGACGCCGUUAAUGGCGGUUCUGAAAGUGGGUCAAUGUCAACUGUGUCAAGGGAGGAUAACAUGAUGGUCUCCUCUGAAGAUUCUUCGUGCCCCGAUGAGUAUGAAUUGGAAUUGGGUCUUGGCCUGAGCCUUGGUGGUGGUGGUUCUAAGCUGCACCAGGUUUCAAAGACUGGUCAAUAUGCCAGGAUUUUGACUGCUCAAGAUUUCCCCCCUUCAUCUCCUUCCCCGUCAUCGUCGUCUUCGUCUUCGUUUUCUUUAAGUAGAGCUAAUGUCACGGCCGGAACAAAGAGGACUGCUGAUCCUGUGGCUGCUGCUAAUGGAUCUAGUCAAAUCGCGGGGUGGCCUCCUAUCAGAGCUUAUAGAAUGAAUAGCAUGGUUAACCAAGCAAAAGCAUCAGUCACUGAAGGAUUUAACUCGACAAUGGAGAACCAUAAAAAGGAGACCUCGAUGGUUGAGAACAGCACCACUGGCUGCUACCAUAAUAGUGGUAAUACUAAGCUCCGGAAAUCUCUGUUUGUUAAGGCGAAUAUGGACGGAAUUCCAAUUGGAAGGAAGGUCGAUCUGAAUGCCCAUGAAUCAUAUGAAAAGUUAGCAAAAACGUUGGAAGAAAUGUUCCUUGAAACCACCCCAAGUGUCAAUUCAGCAGGAUCAAUAGCGCUGCAACGUGAUAUGACAAACAAAAUGGCAAGACCUUCGAAACUGCUAAACGGAUUUUCUGAUUUUGUGCUUACUUAUGAGGACAAGGAGGGUGACUGGAUGCUUGUCGGAGAUGUUCCUUGGGAGUAAGUAUAAUUUCAAUUAUGCAUCUCACUUUACGUAUUUGUUUCUAUGGUCUCAAUCCAAUGGUGUUAAAGUUCCGUUCUUAUUGCCUGGACUGAAAACCAGAACGUGGGAUCCUCGUGACACCUAUUUUAUAGGCGUACGAGUUUCUUUAGAAAAGAAACAAAGAAAAUUCAAAGUACGCAUUUAUAAGAUACAUGUUGCGAUACUAAUAAAGUUUUCAAACAUAAAUUGUCGAUUAGUUCAGGCUUUAGGAUAAAGCUGGGGAGGGUUAUAGGAAAAGCUUAAAAUCUUCAUACAUGUGCCUUUCCUCCAGUGCCCUUGAACUUGCUUUGAGAAUAGAAAGAGAAUUCCAUCUCCCUAGCACUCAUCGUUAAUGUUCUCGGAUUUG
RNA transcript from Hibiscus syriacus, 1221 nucleotides. It is a transcript of the gene named auxin-responsive protein IAA11-like, with no coding region annotated. The record is from RefSeq and is a predicted model, not a curated record. Lineage: Eukaryota; Viridiplantae; Streptophyta; Magnoliopsida; Malvales; Malvaceae. The transcript has 4 exons.